AACGCGACGAGGAACGGGGCUGCUCUCUUCGUCUCAUAUAUAGCGGACAUAAAUUUAUUCUCGCAUAUUUUUGUACUUUCGUGUGUUCGGGUGAUGAAUUGAAAUUUUUUUACAAAUAGAACAAAAGGACCGAUUGCCAUUUUAAGUGCUCUCGUACGUUAUAACAUAUCGAGUGUGUGACAACUGUGACAAUAUCCCUCGCGAAUGUCCAUAGAAUAAGAAAGAAAAGAGAAAAACAGAAUGAAAUAUAAAUUGAUUUAAUUGAAUAUUUAGUACGUUUCGUAUAUAAUAAGCGAUUAGGUAGGUUGAAAGAAUAAGAAAAAAAAUAGAUACAAAUUCUUUGAUUACUGAUGGGUAGAACAGAUAUGUCAAAAACGCUGAACGCUUAUAGAAUUAAGAAAAUCGAACAUAUUGGCAGAAUGACAGCCAUGACACAGGAGGAGAUAGUAGCCGGCGCUCGGACGGUGGCCCAGGGACUGGAGGCUCUUCGCUGUGAACACGGGGGUCUCCUGCAGGGUCUACAGUCUCAGGAGGCACCAGCGGCGAGGGAAAAGGCCAGUCUAAUAUCCAGGAAUAUUGAAAUGAUCGAAUUGGGUCUUGGAGAAGCACAAGUCAUGAUGGCCUUGGCUAGUCACUUACAAAUGGUCGAAGCUGAGAAGCAGAAACUCAGAACGCAAGUUAGACGAUUGUGUCAGGAAAAUGCGUGGCUCAGAGACGAGCUUGCAGGAACUCAACAGAAGUUGCAGGGCAGUGAACAAGCGGUUGCACAACUAGAAGUAGAGAAGAGGCAGCUGAACUUUAUGGCCAGCAUAAGACAAUUUGAUCCUGAUCCACCAGCUGAGGAUGAAAAUACAAAGGAUAGGCCGAAAGAUGAUCCAGUUGUUGAUCUGUUCCCGGAUGAUGAUAACGAUGAUCGAACCAUGACACCAACUCCACCAUCUCAGUUCGCUCAACAAGUGAAUGCUGGAUACGAAAUACCAGCACGUCUCCGUACUCUACAUAAUCUUGUUAUCCAAUAUGCGAGUCAAGGGCGUUACGAAGUUGCAGUACCACUGUGCAAGCAGGCGUUAGAAGACCUUGAAAAAACAUCUGGUCAUGAUCACCCCGAUGUUGCAACGAUGCUAAAUAUUUUAGCCCUAGUUUACAGAGAUCAAAACAAGUUCAAAGAGGCAGCAAAUCUGCUUAAUGAUGCUUUAGCCAUCAGAGAAAAAACUUUGGGUGAAAAUCACCCAGCUGUUGCUGCAACGUUAAAUAACUUGGCUGUUUUAUAUGGUAAACGUGGGAAAUAUAAGGAAGCUGAGCCGUUAUGCAAGCGUGCAUUGGAGAUUCGGGAAAAGGUACUUGGACGUGAGCAUCCAGAUGUUGCAAAACAGUUGAAUAAUUUGGCGCUGUUGUGUCAAAACCAGGGAAAAUAUGAGGAGGUUGAACGCUACUAUCAACGUGCUUUAGUAAUUUACGAAUCAAAGUUAGGGCCAGACGAUCCAAACGUUGCAAAGACAAAAAAUAAUCUUGCCUCUUGUUACCUCAAACAAGGAAAAUAUAAGGAGGCGGAGGUUCUCUACAAACAGGUCCUAACAAGAGCUCAUGAACGUGAAUUUGGGGCAAUUGAAGGUGACAACAAACCAAUAUGGCAGGUAGCGGAAGAGCGUGAAGAAAAUAAACAUAGAAAUAAGGAAAACGCGCCAUAUGGUGAAUAUGGUGGUUGGCAUAAAGCAGCAAAAGUCGAUUCACCUACGGUAACUACAACACUCAAAAACUUAGGCGCACUUUACCGGCGACAGGGAAAAUAUGAGGCUGCUGAAACACUUGAAGACUGUGCGUUGAGGUCACGAAGAGAGCCGCACGUACAGCAGGCACUAGACUUAGUGAAGCAGGCAAAAGUAGCACAGAUCCUUGGAGAUGAGAAAGGAUCAACAAGGCGAGGCUCACGAUCGAGUUUGGCAAACAGUGAGCAAGAACAGCACGACGAGUUUUUUUCGUUGUCCGGCCCGAAUCCACGAUUCGACGACUCGACACUCAAUCACAGACCUCGCUGCCGUUGGUACAAGGGGCGCUGCACGAAGAACAGUCUGGCCAUCAAGAUGCUAGCCCAAACAAACCAGGACUCAAAACCAAACUGUUCAAUGUUCUUGGAAUUCAUUCUUCUACGUAGGACGUUGCUCUGAUUGUUUGAUUGUUCUCUUGUUUGUUCCUUUGUUAACUUGGGGUUGUUUUAGAUAACGCAGCACUAGAUUCGUCGAUAUUUAUAGUUGAAAAAAAAUUCAUACAACUGAAUUUCCUACAGCAACAAAGUAUACUCUUCAACUACAUAAACAGCUUUUAUUUCAACUGAAUUCGGAAAUAAAUAUUUUGCUUCUAGGAUAAUAAUUAAACGUUUCUCAGGCAAGUUUUGCGUUCAAUCAUGUGAAGAAUAUGACUUUAAACUGCUAUUUUGGCAUCAUGUUUUCGGAUAAAAUCUUGACUCGAGGCUAAGAGCAUCUGAUUAUAGAUCCAAAAUUAUUUCCGUUCAAUAGCAAUUAAUAAAGCUUAUCAUCGAAUUGAUUUUCCAUACUUUCAUGUUAAACGUGAAGCAAAAAAACCUGCUACAAACAGACGACGAUUUCUUGGAGAUGAAAACAAGCUAUUGAGUGCUGUUGAAAUUCGCUAAUUUGUAAUUUCUGGAAGGAUAGAGUGAAUUAAAUUGCUACAUCGGAUUAAAUCGUUUAUAUAACAUUAAUAAUACAUUAUUUUUGAAAGUUGAGGCAGCGUUUUACCGAAGCAAUUGAUGAUGAAGUCGAUUUGUCCAGGGUGCUUCAUAGUCGGGAUUGUACAUCUUGUUGAAAACGAAAUUAUUUACAACAAUAUAUACGUUUAUGCUCGCAAAACUAUUUAACCAUGCCUAAUACAUCGUUGUUAGCAAGAUAUCGUAGAAUUGUGCCGCGAUAAAUAUAACGAAUAGUCUUCCUCUGUUGAAAACAUUACAGAUAAUCUAUUCACGAAACAACUACACAAUUUAGUAUUCUAUUAACCAAAUUACUGUUAUCUUGAAGCGAUAAUUCACAAUGAUAUAUUAUUACAUUUGCUUUGCAUAACUAUAUAGCUGAGUAUAGAUACGCAAAGGCAAUUUUUUAAACACCCUAUUCACGAAUAUACUUGUGUUCUGAAUACUGUGGGGACGAGGCUCGAUGUUCAAGUCAUUUAUAUUCGCAGUGAUUCUCUCAUAAUUUGAUAGUCUACAUUGUUCUAUUUUUAGUAAAGUUCACACUUUGCAAGGGUUUUAUCAUGAUUUUACAAAAUGUUCGAAACAAUUUUAUAUAUCGUUUUUUUACUGUAUCAAUCUCUUUUUACGUCCUGCAUGUGCAUAUUUCUAAGAAAAAUUUAAUUCUGGGUACUUGAGUAUCGUUUUAUUUAGUUCACUAUGUUGCGCCGAACUUUUCAAAUUUAGGCAAAAUCAUUUUUAACAAACUCAUUCAUUUUUAGCUAACAAGUAUAAUACAUCAGGAUAAAAUAAGAGCUCUAUAUUCAAUCGAGAUCAGGCUCAUAUUUACACAGUCAUAAAAUUUGGCACCUGGAUGCCAAAAACAAAAAUAGUAUACGUAGAAAUAUAUAUAUAUAUCACGAUUAGUAUUUAAUAAAGUUGUAACAAAAGCCGUUUAUUCAGUAUAAAACGCAGAAAAACUAAUCGAUAACGCAUACAGGUCGCGCAGAAUAUUUGUCAGGCUAUUUAUAAAAGUUAUACUUUGAUAUGAGGGACCCUGUAUUAAUUUUUUUUUUUUUUUUUUCAUUUUCAUUUUUACCUUUAUAGAAUAAUUAAGUUUCUUACGAAGUAAUGUUAAUUGUUUAACUUUAUUACUAGAUAGAAUUCAAGUCUAAGAUUUCAAUUGAUUGUUCCAAGAGUUUAAAGAACAGUUAUUGUAGGAAAACUGUAAAACAGUGAAGGGUAGUGCCUUGAUACUUUAACAAAUCAAUAAAUUAUUUUACAAAAGUGAAAGAUUAUUAUUUAUAAAUAAAAGUUAUUCACGCUGUCUCUGUCAUAGUAAGAUUUUGUUAAAAGCCCUUGCCUUUUUUACUGCAUGGGAUUUAACCGUUUCUCGUAGGCAUAUAUCCGUUCAAUAGGAAUUUCAAAAACGGUAUACAUUGUAUUGAUGCAGAGCAUAAUUAGGUAACAGUAGAGUGUCUUCUCUGGUAAUCCGUUCAAAAAAAUUAUCUACUUAGUCUAGAUGAUUGAUCAUUGUCAUGAUAGAUUUCCAUUUGAAGCUCUUUUGGAGAAAUAAUAACAGUAGACUGUUGUACUCAUUCUGAAUACUAAAAUUUUGAUUAAUGUUGAGGGUGUAAACCAAUUUUGAAAACAAGAUAGUAGAACUUGAUACACUUGGAAGAAUGCUUGCAUAUCGUAUGACAAAACGUUAAGAACUUAGGUCAUAAUUAUAAGAUCUGCAUCAUUAUUUCUAAAUUCUAAAAUCAGAAGCCGUAUUAAAGAUGUUAGAUUUAAUUUCUGUUGCCGAUCGCCAUCGCAGUCUCUAAGAUAUUAUUUUACAUGGUAUACCAUAAUCAGGAUCGAGGUCAUCGAGGUUUUUAUGCAUCUUUACCUUUGACUCGUAUUAGGUUUUCUUUCAUAUACUUGCGUUCGUAUUUUUUCGACUUUAUUUGAAUACCGCGGGCCUGGGGUUUAGGUACGGAUGCCAGCAGAUCAUCAAAAUCGAAAUAACCAGACGGAAUGUACCUAAAAUAAACAGGAUCGCAAACACGCUGUUCGUGCCCAGUAACCAGGAUAUAAAAGAAACAUUCAAAUGAAGGCCAAGGACUCGACAAUGUUUUACUAAAAUGUUGCCCGACGUCCACAAGACCUACAUCAUAUGGUUUCUCAGCACAUUCCAGCUGCUUUUAAAUUGAUACGAGAUUUCAGGCUUAUCUAGGUGGGUUCAUUAAAUACUUAAUCAGUUCAAAUACAGUGAUCACAAAGCAAACGUAACAACUUCUUGACAUGCUCAUUUUAGGAAACGAGUGACAACGAUUCGAAAUAAAAAUUCACUCUAAUGGUAACCUCAAUUCUUUUCAUACUUAUAUUACUUUUAAUGUGUAAAAAUCUGUUAUAGGUGAGCGUAUAUUAUUAAUUGUAAAGCAAGUCAUCAAAUCCUGCAUGGAUUAUAUUUCCCAAAAUAUCACCUUUGCAAGCCUGUGCUCUGUAUCAAAAUAAAUCGUUACAACGUCAAAAUCUAUUUGCACAGAUCUAGUAAUGUAGCGGAAUAACUUUGUGGCGUUAUCACUUUCUAGUUCAUCAUGCAUAUUUAAUUGAAUGAGAAAAAACAAAUACGUAUCCACAGAAUGGAAAAAAAAGAAGAAAAACUAUGUAAAUAAAUACUGGCAAACUACAACCGAUUUUUGCAGCAUGUAAUACUGUUAACUUGACUGGAAAAUAAUAAAAAAAAAAAAAAAAAAACA
RNAcentral lists this unclassified non-coding RNA (5421 nucleotides) under Neodiprion pinetum (white pine sawfly). RNAcentral describes it as "kinesin light chain, transcript variant X4". Lineage: Eukaryota; Metazoa; Arthropoda; Insecta; Hymenoptera; Diprionidae. The record is from RNAcentral.